RNAcentral lists this ribosomal RNA (497 nucleotides) under uncultured bacterium. RNAcentral describes it as "partial 16S ribosomal RNA". It matches the Rfam family "Bacterial small subunit ribosomal RNA", at positions 28 to 507 of the family's 1533-position model. The record is from RNAcentral.
GAUGAACGCUGGCGGCGGGCCUAACACAUGCAAGUCGAGCGAACAGACAAUGAGCGUGCUCUUUUGACGUUGGCGGCGGACGGGUGAGUAACACGUCGGUCACCUACUUAUUUUACGUGGAUAAUUUCGGGAAACCGGAGCCGAUACCGCCUAAUACUUGGAACCGCAUGGUUCUAAAGAGAUAGGUGGCUUUGCCAUUUCAUUUAGCUGGACCCGCGUGGUAUUAGUUAGUUGGUAAGGUAACGGCUUACCAAGGCGACGAUACGUAGCUGACCUGAGAGGAGGAUCAGCCACACUGGAACUGAGACACGGUCCAGACUCCUACGGGAGGCAGCAGUGGGGAAUCUUCGGCAAAAGGCGAAAGCCUGACCCAGCAACACCGCGUGGGUGAAGAAGGCUUUCGGCUCGUAAAGCUCUGUUAUUGGGAAAGAAAAAAUGUGGAAGUAUACGCGCACGUUUUGACGGUACCCAAUCAAAAAGCAACGGCUAACUACGUG